RNAcentral lists this microRNA precursor (74 nucleotides) under Aegilops tauschii subsp. strangulata. RNAcentral describes it as "pre miRNA mir-2973". The record is from RNAcentral. Lineage: Eukaryota; Viridiplantae; Streptophyta; Magnoliopsida; Poales; Poaceae.
UCCCGGUUGGCCUAGCCAACCGCAACUAAAGGCCUUCGGGGACCUUUAGUCGCGGUUGGCCAGGCCAACCGGGA